RNAcentral lists this long non-coding RNA (229 nucleotides) under Hordeum vulgare. RNAcentral's name for it is "long non-coding RNA (HVUL_LNC012133)". The record is from RNAcentral. Lineage: Eukaryota; Viridiplantae; Streptophyta; Magnoliopsida; Poales; Poaceae.
UAAAAAUGCACUGAACACAUGGAAUGCGGAAAUGAACAUCCGAACAACAUGGUAACAAGCAACUGCUAUAUAUACACCAUGGUCCAUACACACCAUUACAUAGUUCCGUACAACCUUAACCGAAGAGCAAACUACUGAAAAGAUGAUAUUACUUAUCAGAGGCUUUCCAAGCUUCCUAUACAUUAUUUAUCUAUGCCUCCGGAAUUCAUCUCAUGACAUAAGCAUACCC